Lipotes vexillifer (Yangtze River dolphin) is the source of this 73-nucleotide non-coding RNA. The record is from the annotation of a RefSeq genome assembly. NCBI's taxonomy places the organism in Eukaryota, Metazoa, Chordata, Mammalia, Artiodactyla, Lipotidae.
UCCCUGGUGGUCCAGUGGUUAGGAAUCUGCGCUUUUGCUGCAGAGGGCUCAGGUUCAAUCCCUGGUCGGGGAA